AUGCGAAUGGACGCUGAGGGUAUGGAGUUUCUGCUUGAUUUGGUCGACAGGUUCCCCGUUCGGGAGGAAUUUGCUGAUAGCCUUGAACAAACAGAUCCGGUUCCCCUCCUCUACUUGUUACAGAAUGGGGCUGGAAAUCUUGAGGCUGGUGCUGCAAACGGUGGGUCUAACCUGGCUCAGAUGGCCGGCGAAGAUGACAUGGCUGCGGCGCAAGAAGGUGCCCAGCAGCGCCGAGCUGCAUCUCCGACGAGGUCUGCUCAGUCAACCGACAGUGUGAAUCCAGAGGCCCCCGGCUGGACUAAAAGAAAAAUCUGGGUUCACCUAUGUGGUGCUCGCCGACAAAUCCAGUAA
RNAcentral lists this ribosomal RNA (351 nucleotides) under Triticum aestivum (bread wheat). Its description in RNAcentral is "partial small subunit ribosomal RNA". Lineage: Eukaryota; Viridiplantae; Streptophyta; Magnoliopsida; Poales; Poaceae. The record is from RNAcentral.